Molecule: long non-coding RNA, 539 nt
Filed under: Helianthus annuus (common sunflower)
Lineage: Eukaryota; Viridiplantae; Streptophyta; Magnoliopsida; Asterales; Asteraceae
Description: hypothetical non coding rna
Source: RNAcentral
UAAAGCUCACCAGCCGACACCCUUUUCUUCCUCCCUCUAGGUUCCACUGUGCAACACAAAAAAAAAGAAGAAGAGUUUUCAACUCUCUCUCCCUCAUCUGAAUACAGCCGGCUCCAGCAACCGGAGCCAACUCCGGCGACGAAACAAACAGCGGUGGUUGUUCCAGCCGCGACAUCCCCAAACACCUCACCCACUCCCCCCGACCUACGCGAUUUCGACACCACCCUCCGACAAAGAUUUGCGGCGGUGGCGAAGCUGGUUUCUCAUGACAGUGGUGGGUUCAGUUUGGUGCGAGUUCGGGACUCCGGUCAACUUUUGCGACACGAUCGGUUCGGGUCAGAUUUCAUGUUCAGGUUGAUGAUGAUGAUGCUAUGAAAUGAAGUAGCGUUGAUGCCUAGAUACACAUAUAUACGUUUAGGUUUAAAUGUUGUAUCAAUUUUGAUUAUGUUGUUAUGUAUUCCUUUUGAACUUGUUGUUAUUUGAAUUCCUUGUAUUGUUGACAAUUUAGUUUAUGAAAUGAAAUCGGUUUAUUAAAUAUU